RNAcentral lists this ribosomal RNA (251 nucleotides) under uncultured bacterium. RNAcentral's name for it is "partial 16S ribosomal RNA". It matches the Rfam family "Bacterial small subunit ribosomal RNA", at positions 524 to 776 of the family's 1533-position model. The record is from RNAcentral.
GACGAAGGGGGCUAGCGUUGUUCGGAAUUACUGGGCGUAGCGCGUGUAGGCGGUUGUCCAAGUUGGAUGUGAAAGCCUUGAGCUCAACUCAAGAAAUGCAUUCAGGACUGGAUGACUAGAGGACCGGAGAGGAUAGUGGAAUUCCCAGUGUAGUGGUGAAAUACGUAGAGAUUGGGAAGAACACCAGUGGCGAAGGCGGCUAUCUGGACGGUUUCUGACGCUAAGACGCGAAAGCGUGGGGAGCAAACAGG